RNAcentral lists this ribosomal RNA (259 nucleotides) under uncultured bacterium. RNAcentral describes it as "partial 16S ribosomal RNA". It matches the Rfam family "Bacterial small subunit ribosomal RNA", at positions 526 to 779 of the family's 1533-position model. The record is from RNAcentral.
CAGAGGGUGCGAGCGUUAAAUCGGGAUUUACUGGGCGUAAAGCGUGCGUAGGCGGCUUCUUAAGUCGGAUGUGAAAUCCCUGAGCUUAACUUAGGAAUUGCAUUUCGAUACUGGGAAGCUAGAGUAUGGGAGAGGAUGGUAGAAAUUCCCAGGUGUAGCGGUGAAAUGCGUAGAGAUCUGGGAGGAAUACCGAUGGCGAAGGCAGCCAUCUGGCCUAAUACUGACGCUGAGGUACGAAAGCAUGGGAGCAAACAGGAUU